GACGCGUCAAACCACGCCAAAACCGCGGCCA
RNAcentral lists this small RNA (31 nucleotides) under Propionibacterium australiense. RNAcentral's name for it is "CRISPR_Spacer". Lineage: Bacteria; Bacillati; Actinomycetota; Actinomycetes; Propionibacteriales; Propionibacteriaceae. The record is from RNAcentral.